UACGAAGGGGGCUAGCGUUGUUCGGAAUUACUGGGCGUAAAGCGCACGUAGGCGGAUAUUUAAGUCAGGGGUGAAAUCCCGGGGCUCAACCCCGGAACUGCCUUUGAUACUGGGUAUCUAGAGUCCAGAAGAGGUGAGUGGAAUUCCGAGUGUAGAGGUGAAAUUCGUAGAUAUUCGGAGGAACACCAGUGGCGAAGGCGGCUCACAUGGUCUGGUACUGACGCUGAGGUGCGAAAGCGUGGGGAGCAAACAGG
This 254-nucleotide ribosomal RNA is filed under the name uncultured bacterium. RNAcentral's name for it is "partial 16S ribosomal RNA". It matches the Rfam family "Bacterial small subunit ribosomal RNA", at positions 524 to 776 of the family's 1533-position model. The record is from RNAcentral.